CCCUUAGAUGUUCUGGGCCGCACGCGUGCUACACUGAGUGGAUCAGCGGGUCAGGUUGCGCGAAAGUGUUUCCUAAUCUUUAAAUCCGCUCGUGAUGGGGAUUGACGGUUGCAAUUUUCCGUCAUGAACGAGGAAUACCUUGUAAGCGCGGGUCAUCAUCCCGCGCUGAAUACGUCCCUGCCCUUUGUACACACCGCCCGUCGCUCCUACCGAUUGAGUGGUCCGGUGAGGCUUUGGGAUCUGAGCGGAAAGAGCGUUUCGCUGUUUCUGCUCGGAAAACUCAGUCGAACCUUAUCAUUUAGAGGAAGGAGGAGUCGUAACA
RNAcentral lists this ribosomal RNA (322 nucleotides) under uncultured eukaryote. RNAcentral's name for it is "partial 18S ribosomal RNA". It matches the Rfam family "Eukaryotic small subunit ribosomal RNA", at positions 1470 to 1796 of the family's 1831-position model. The record is from RNAcentral.